UUGAUGCCAUUCAUGAUGUCAGGUGCUUUGCUGGGUUGGGACUGAUGCUGAUGAGGCCUGCAGCUCUCAAAAUGCUCUGAGAAAUAUCUGUAUAAAAGGACCCUUCUCUACAGUAACUUGAGAAGAUUCUUCCUUCUUUCCAGGGUUUCUCCUGGAACUGUUACUAGGGCAUUCUGUUGUUAUGAUAAAUAUCUGAAAACGAAUGAAGAGGAAUGCAUGUGGUGUGAAGCACUUACUGGCACCACAGAAUUGUGGCUUACAUUUACAAGUCAUUUAGUCUGGCUGGUGCCUCCUGACCAUGCUGUUCUUGGACCCUGUGGUUUGCUUCACCCUGAGCAGGCUGAUAUCCAAGGAGUGAAGUAGCAAUCUCCAGAGGAGCAUCCUUCCCAGGAUUCUCCAUCAUACAGACAGAGAGUUCUGGAUUUCUGGCUCUAUCAUGGAUGUCUGCCUCUGAGUCUACAUCUUCGCAGAAGUUUGGAUCAUUGCCUUGAUUCAGUCAGAGAGCUGCCGAUAUGCUGAGGCUGGUGCUCGCUACCCCGGUGAGUAUGUUGUCAAAUAUAUUUAUGCCUAAUAUUUUGUUUCAGAGGAACUGAUGAAUAUGAAAAAUAGUUCAUAACUUCAGAGGAUGUUAGCUGUGGAUUUCACAAGUCCUCUGAAGGCAAGGAAGCAGCAUUAUUAGCAGAACUGUGUAGUGUAUAGGAGACAAUCUAGGUCGUCAACCAGAUUGAGCUCUGCUACCUGUUAAGAUCCACUUUAAGCAAACAGACUGAUCUUUCUGAAUUCCAGUCAAGUAACUUUGGGCCUUAUGAUUUUAUGCAAUGGACAAGCUGAGCUGAUUCUGGAACUGAUUGUGUUGUUUGAGUUUGUUGGUAAUUUG
Molecule: long non-coding RNA, 877 nt
Organism: Pogoniulus pusillus (Red-fronted tinkerbird)
Lineage: Eukaryota; Metazoa; Chordata; Aves; Piciformes; Lybiidae
Exons: 4
Source: RefSeq, a predicted model, not a curated record